This 406-nucleotide unclassified non-coding RNA is filed under the name Papenfussiella sp. CHIL3. RNAcentral's name for it is "partial ITS2". The record is from RNAcentral. Lineage: Eukaryota; Phaeophyceae; Ectocarpales; Chordariaceae.
GACACCACUCGCCCCUCUUCUUCUUCUUCUUCUCUUUGCGCCUCUUCUCCUUAAAAACGGGAGGAGGCGGAGAAGGAGGAGGAGGAGGAGGAGGAGGAGGCGGACUCUUCUUCCUCCGCACGUGAGCUCCUCCAACCACCGAAUGGUCGUGAACGAGAUAGAUAGGAGAUGACUCAUCUGUCCAUCAUCAUGAUUACUUCUGCCAGCGACGUAGCAGCAGCUGUUGACGGCGCGUCGCUCUUUAAGAGAAGCGACACGACUCUUCCUCCACUACCGACCCUCCUCUAGGUGCCGUUUUAAUCAACCCAAUACAGUUCCGGUUGUUUUGCCUCAUCAUCCCGUCGUCGCCGCGAUCUAACGAACGCGAACGCGAGGAGAUGUUGACACCAAAUUACCCCAACUUUCG